CCUACGGGAGGCAGCAGUGAGGAAUAUUGGUCAAUGGCCGCAGGGCUGAACCAGCCAAGUCGCGUGAGGGAUGACGGUCCUAUGGAUUGUAAACCUCUUUUGUCAGGGAGCAAAGUGCGCCACGUGUGGCGUUUUGCGAGUACCUGAAGAACACGCAUCGGCUAACUCCGUGCCAGCAGCCGCGGUAAUACGGAGGAUGCGAGCGUUAUCCGGAUUUAUUGGGGUUAAAGGGUGCGCAGGCGGAAUGUCAAGUCAGCGGUAAAAUUUCGGGGCUCAACCCCGUCGUGCCGUUGAAACUGGCGGUCUUGAGUGGGCGAGAAGUAGGCGGAAUGCGUGGUGUAGCGGUGAAAUGCAUAGAUAUCACGCAGAACUCCGAUUGCGAAGGCAGCAUACCGGCGCUAAACUGACGCUCAUGCACGAAAGCGUGGGUAUCGAACAGGAUUAGAUACCCUGGUAGUC
RNAcentral lists this ribosomal RNA (459 nucleotides) under uncultured bacterium. Its description in RNAcentral is "partial 16S ribosomal RNA". It matches the Rfam family "Bacterial small subunit ribosomal RNA", at positions 338 to 795 of the family's 1533-position model. The record is from RNAcentral.